RNAcentral lists this ribosomal RNA (116 nucleotides) under Aneurinibacillus soli. Lineage: Bacteria; Bacillati; Bacillota; Bacilli; Caryophanales; Paenibacillaceae. The record is from RNAcentral.
UGGUAAUGAUGGCAAAAGGGUCACACCUGUUCCCAUCCCGAACACAGAAGUUAAGUCUUUUAGCGCCGAGGGUACUUGGGGGGCAACUCCCUGGGAGAGUAGGACGUUGCCAGGCG